RNAcentral lists this long non-coding RNA (424 nucleotides) under Serinus canaria (Common canary). RNAcentral's name for it is "lncRNA (ENSSCAG00000000257.1)". Lineage: Eukaryota; Metazoa; Chordata; Aves; Passeriformes; Fringillidae. The record is from RNAcentral.
AUUUUAAGGAAGACAAGUAAAAUGUAAAUAUAAACACCAUGAAAGCUUUGGCUUUAAUUACUAUUUGAUUAAUCCUCUGGUUUGCUGCCUUUUAGUUGUAUUCAAUGGAACAUCUGGUUGAAGAAGGGAAAGAAAAUGCACUGUGAUUACUGUUUUCUACUGCUCCCUCACCUGGGCCCUGCUCCCAGAGACAGAAUGCAAAGGAUACCAGCAGUGCCACCCAUAAAUAUUGAAACUGUGUCAUCUGAGGGAAGAAAAUGAAGACAGCUUCCAAAAAUGGAAGUUAUAUAAAUUGGUUCUCCUGCUGGGGAAGUCAAAGAAAAAAUUCAGGUGGUGGAAGAGGAACUCCAGUCAGUCCCCCUCCGUCUGGAAGAGCAACAGGACACGUAUGCCACGUCUCCUGGGGAGCCCUCCGAGGGUGGCU